This is an RNA transcript of Nothobranchius furzeri (turquoise killifish), 7705 nucleotides long. It is a transcript of the gene named prune homolog 2 with BCH domain, with no coding region annotated. The record is from RefSeq and is a predicted model, not a curated record. Lineage: Eukaryota; Metazoa; Chordata; Actinopteri; Cyprinodontiformes; Nothobranchiidae.
UCCAACACACUCAUCGUCCAUUUACGUUUAUUAUCGUGUCUGAGUCGGCGCGUGGGUGUCUGUGUGUGAGGGUUUGUGUUUCGCUGAGGGGAACGAUGAGGGGGUGGGCGUCCUGCCGCAGGGAGCGCGGCUGAGCCGGUGGAAUCAGCGAGCGCGCCUCCGUCGAAUCUCCGCUUCCGACCGUCACACCCACCGCUCGGUGUCGUGGGCUCACCUCGCUGAAAGGGGGAGGACCAACUGCUCCGCGGCUACGAGUGCUGCAGUGCGAGCGCAGCGGGGGACUCGAAGACAGAAAACACACACACAUAAACACACAUCUGCUGCUUUAUUUCCAAAAAUUGGUCCAUGGAGAGAUCCGCAGAAGCGCCAUAGCGACGCAGGCCGACAUGGAAGAGUAUUUGCGGAGGGUCCAGAGCAGACUCGGGGCAGGUCCACCUGAAGGCCCCUUCCAUGCUGUUUUAGGUGGACCAGAGCCUGAUGUUGACACUGUGGCUGCAACACUGUGCUUAGCACUCCAUCUCAGUCAGGAGUCAUCAGGAGGAGUGUGUGUGCCAGUGCUGUGCAGAAAGCGAUGCGUCGUGCUACCUGAAGAGACCGUGAGGUAUCUACAGACGAUAAAACUUGAUGAGAGUUUGUUGCUCUGGAAGGAGGAUCUAGACCUUGUGAAGCUUCAUCAGUCUGGAAAGCUGUUGCUCACACUGCUGAGAGAUGGACUGCUUGAAAGCUCUGAACAUCACACUUUAGAGUCCAGCAUCCUGCAAGUGGUCCAUCAUGACGUGCAGCGGAACGAGGCGGAUGGCAGGACACUGUCCGUGUUGGCAAUGGUCGCCAGAGAGAUUCUUCAAGAGGCAGCAGAGCAGAGAAGAACAACGCUGGGGGAGGCUCUGGGAGAGGCCUUACGACUGCAAAGAGAAGCAUUGUGGCUCAAACAUGGCUGUCAGUCAGAGGAGCUGGAGGAGCUCAUGAGAUCCUUGGAGCAGUGGGCCGAUGGCGAGUCGACAGAAGUGAGGCAACAAGACUUAAUGCAGCUGCUGCCGAUGGAGCUGAAGGAGUUUUCGGAUGGAGAGACGACGAUAGCGCUCGCCUCACUGACCGCAGAAAAGAAGGACUGGCAGGAUUAUAUGAAUGGAUUGAAAUCUUUUUGUCAUCACCACGGUUACGAGGGGCUUGUAGUUCUGUCUGUCAGUGAUGAAGUUCAUCAUCCCCACCAGCAGGUGGCAGUCUACUCAAACAACACAGACAUGUUAAACCAGAUUUGUGCAGCGUUGGAGGAGUCCUCCAGUUGGCCCCUAUCUGGUGAACGGCAAGAUGCAGAGAGUGUCCAAGUCUACCACAUUCCAAUAAACACGUUUGCACCCUCUGGUACUCCUCCUCUGCUAGAAGAAGACAUCCAGGAACUCCUCAAAAGCUUUGUUGACCGGAGGAGGUCGGUUUUAGCCUGCCACCCCAGCAGCAGGACCUCUUCCACAGAGGGAGUAGCGGGCAGUGUGGAGUUCUCCCAGGGGUCGUCUGGCAUCAAUGACAUGGAUGGGUCUGACAUGGAGAGAGCCGAGGGAAUCAAUGAAAAUGAAGUGGCAGUAGCGAGGGUGAUGGCAGAUCGUGAAGACACAGGAGCAGUCGGUGCUGGGGAGCUGUUGAGCCCAGACAGCGGUAUGACCACCAUUCGCAGCAGUCGUUCCUCCAAAGAGAGCUCUGUGUUCCUGAGUGAUGAUAGCCCAAUUGGGGAGAUCAUGGCGAGUGGAGGUCUAGCAGCAGGACCAGGAGGACUAAGAAACCCCUCCCCCUUAGGGUUUUCAUCUCUAUCUCCCCCUGUCCCGCCUGAGAGGAGGAAGCAUCGCUCAAGUAGAAAUAAAAGUGAUAAUUUUAAUUUGUUUAGCUUUGACCCCCUCCAUAGCAUUGACCAGCCUCUGCCAGCAGGAGGGGAACUGUUGAGUUCUUUAGGAGGAGGAGAUGAAGGUGAUAGAAGAGCUGGAAGCUCGAGCUUAUCUGAACUUGAAGAGCUAAGCUUGAUAGAUUUCUCUGCUCCUAACUCAUCCAGAGGGCUUGGAAGUGGGAAUUCUUCAGUUGAUCACCAAGGCCAGAUCCACGGAAAUGAGAUGAUGGAGACAAUGGUUCCCCCAACUCCUGUGAAUAGCCUGGUAGGUAGCCGCCCACCCAGCAGUUGUGGCGUCAGGUUCUUCCCAGAAGAUGUAAUUGAAAGGAUCAGCAGCCUGCAGCACAAAGACAGCGUGUCAUCAUCCUUGUCAGAGACCUGGGAUGAACUUAAUUUUGAUUCCCAAGGGGCAUUGUCCCCUAGAGAUGGUGCUUUAGGCAGGCCCAAAAGCUCAGAGAGUAUUCAGAAGGUUGAAGAUGAAGUUAGUGUGAAAGACUCUGAUGUGGCUGAGAAAAAUGACACAGAGAAGAUGGUUGAAGCAGAAAUGGUCCAACAAAGAACAAAGACUUUUGAACCUCAACUUAGUUUUGUUAAAGAACAGACAGAAACAUUUGAAAACUGGAGCCCAGACAUUUUAUUUAAGGAUCAGUGGAACUCUGUUUCUAUAUCUGAUCUCCAGUUAACACCACCAGACGAGGAAGUGAUUGUACAAAGCAAAAAAGAAAAAGACAGAUCCCCCUUUUUGAGAAAAAAGAAAACUAUCCUAAACACGCUGACACCAGACACAUCUAAAGAAGAGGACGAAUGUGUCCAAAGUAAAAAGAGAGACCAGCAUUUGGAGCUGUUGGACUUUUGGACGUACUCGGAACAGAAGGGGUUUCUUAAAUCGGACAGUGGAACCACCACUUCUUACCCGGAAUCACUAGAUAUGUGGAACACGACGAUUCGGGAUGACAGUCUGUCACCGCUGACUACCCCUGACAACUUGUCUGAAAACUCUGGUUCGAUCUGUGGACUGAAUCGCAAUCUAAGGAGAGACACAUCUGUAGAAAGUCCUCAAGGAUACUCUGCCGGUGGAAUGGAAAUGUGGAACACCACCAUCCAAGAAGACAGCUCUUCCAUAAUGACGACCCCUGAAGGACCUGAAAAUGAUGAAGACCUCAAAUGUGUAGGAUCGCUAGAUUAUUCUGUUGAGACAAAAACUAGCAAACGGACAGAAAAAGACGAGGACUCUGAAGACGAUGGUGUCUGUAAAGCACAUGACCAGACACGCGAAGAUGCUGAGUGGAGUGGUAACGAGCACAACGUGAAAAUAGUCAUAGAGACGGCAGACGGUGGAACACAGGAGGAAGAAACGGACAUUGGAGACAUGCAGGGAGCUCAGAGCCCAUGUCCUGAGAUGUUCCCUCUCCAUGGCAUGGUCAUGUCCACCUCCGAAUAUGACAACAUAGGAGCUGGAUCGUGGAGCCAAACACCUUCCCCUGACACCUGUCUGAGCCCAGCAGUAGAUGUGAUACAGCUGGAGGAGCAGUCUAGCCCUUUUGUAACUGUAGACAAGCCUAUCCUUGGUGAUGAAAGACCGAAUCAGGGCCAGAAUGGGUCAGAUGCUGAGCAAACAGUAAACGAAGUCUUCAUAUUUGAUAGAGACUUUGUCCACCUGACAAGGAGUGAGGAAAGUCCACUUGAGAGCGAGUAUGAAAACACAAGAUUGGACAAAUUGGAGGAAGAUGAUUGGAUGGAGCAAUCCAGUGAUCAUUCUCCAUUUGUUCUGGUCGACACGUCUAAAGUCACUCAGCAGGUUUCAGAAAGUCCAGGAGAAUCUACUGAAAUCCAAAUCCAGGAACACCAAAGCUGUAUAGACUGGGACAGUUUAUUAUCAAAGACGCAUUAUGACUCAGAAUCCGCUCAAUCGCUGUAUCUACCCCUCAAAAUCACUCACAAUGAAGAUGAGCAUGCCAUUGAAAGCCAUAAUUUGAACCCCCAAAAAAGCAAGGACAAUGUAGAAGGGCAAAGAUCUUUAAACUCUUUCUCGGGUGAAGAAAGAGAGACACUGAACAGCCUUCACACUAGUGGUCACAAUAAUCCUGAGACUAACUCUGAUGAAAAUUCAUUCUCUGGUUUAGAAAUGGAAAACAUUGUUGUAUCUGGCAUAGUCAAAGAAGCUAGCAGAGAGUGGUCUGGUAGGCCCACCCAGGAAAGCAAAAUAUCCAAAGGAAUAAGAAAACCUAUGGAGACUUUAAGCAUGCUGACGUACGCUGCCACAGUUUUGAAAAGUCAUGCACAAGCUACGCAAAAGGAUCACCUGGAGAACUUAAAUCAGGCUGGUUCGCAACAGAUCAUGGGAACCGACACUGAAUCAGACGUUGCAGCCAUUAGCCCUCACUACCAGUCCAGCCAUGACAUGAACUUGAAGCAAGAAGUGGGUCCAGAAAUGACCAGCCCUAGCCAAUCGAAAGCCAACUCUGAAGCUUUUCAUCCAUCCGACGGUCGAUCACCUGAUGAAGAAAAUAAUAAAUGUGAGUCGAGCACUUUGCCCCGAAGUGUGUCGCCCUCAUUAAGGUAUCCAUCAGAUCACUUCCUGAAAACUAGAGAGGAAGUUUAUGUCCAUUCACAGAUCUCAAUGGAAGACUCUGAUGAAGGUGGGUUGUCACCCUCUGCACCUCCACCCAGCGCUACGUCCUUGGGCGAAUUUCAUGUCUGGGGGGGUCAGGUAGUAAAACGGGACAUAUCUGGAACAGAGUCUCCUGUACUUACCAAUAGUUCAGUCUCUCACAGCAGCUCUCUGAUCAGCUCCCCAGUAAAUGAUUUAAGCUCUUCUGCUGAAAAAGGACUCGGUUUACCUUUUUCUGGAGAUUUAAUGGAAGAGGAGCAUGAUGAGGAUGCAGAUGUGGACAACACAUCGCUUCCGAAACUGACUCCAGGAGAACAAAGAGAAAGAAAAGAAAGGCAUGUGUUUGAAACUUCUGACCUGUUGAGUUUUACUGAAGAUCUGAUUGGAGUUUCCUCAUAUCAACAAACAUUUGAGUCGAACAACGACAGGUUUGAGGACUACUAUGACCCACAACCUGUAAGGACAGAUGAUCAUGAACAAUGGUCAAUUGGGCAGCUAACUGGAGGUCACAAAGCUUCUCAAGAUAUCUAUUCACCUGUUUCAAGACCCCAAGAUGUGACAUCUCAACUCUCAUCUCGUCCAACCAGCGAGAAUGCUGCCUACCAGUCGACAGGAAGUCAGAACACAACUCAGGGUCAAACCAAAUAUGGCUACAACUUCCAUCACAUCGACCAAAGAACUGAGAACCAGAGUGCUUGCAGAGCCUGCACAGAUGCCAAAUUAGAAAGUCAGCAGGAUGCCACAGAAGUCUACGCUGAGUUCACAACUGAUUCUUCAGCUAAGAACUUCAGAUCUGAGCAGAGUGAGAACCGUUUUGACGUUGGAGGGAACACCCCUUACUGCCUGGGCGAUGCACGUUUAAAGUGUCAGUAUGUAUCUGAAAGCUCCUACGUGGACGGCUCCAUGUGCUCGGCUGAUCUCCAGUACUCCCAGCAUCAAGUGGGUGCACAAAGUGAAUAUGAUUCAGACCGUAUUCACCAUCAGAAUGAAGGAGAACCAUACCACCAAUCAGAAGCCCACUGCGACACAAAAGACCAUGCACAGUAUGUGCCAGAGGGAUAUGUUCACGUUCUCCUGAACAGGAGCUCCCAGCAGGGUGCUGGUGCAGCAGAGGUGAUGAUGACGAUGGCCUCUAGUGAGGAAGCCGCUGAGCCGGAUAACAGAGAAGACCCACCCUCUUCAGCAGAUACGUCUGCUGGAUCUAAUCAAAGAAGAAAGCUGGCCGCUCCACCCAUGAAUGUGUCACUGGAGCACAGCGAAGGCUCCCUUAUUUCAGAGGAUGCCCUGGACACGGAGGAUGAUGCCUUGGACACUGGGGAUGACCUCGACAUUAGUGUUGAUGAGAUUGACACACCUGAUGAGUCUGACUCUCUGGAGUUUCAUGUGCAAGUGGAAUCAGAAGACCAGGAUGCAGGAGCAGCCUCGGGUGGUGCUGCAGCAGGUCAUCUAGAAGAAGAAGAAGAAGAAAGAGGAGACACAAGACUAUGGAGGAGCGUGGUGAUUGGAGAGCAGGAGCAUCGAAUCGAUAUGAAAUGCAUCGAGCCAUACAGAAAAGUCAUUUCCCAUGGAGGCUAUUAUGCCGAAAGGAAUGCCAUCAUUGUGUUUGCAGCAUGUUUCCUGCCGGACAGUGACUGUGAGAAUUAUAACUAUGUCAUGGAAAACCUUUUUCUGUAUGUAAUUAGUACGUUGGAACUGAUGGUGGCAGAGGAUUACAUGAUCGUGUACCUGAAUGGCGCCACUCCUCGCAGGAGGAUGCCUGGUUUUACCUGGAUGAAGAGAUGCUACCAGAUGAUUGAUAGAAGACUAAAGAAAAACCUGAAGAUGUUCUUCAUUGUUCAUCCUUCCUGGUUUGUUCGGACUUUGCUGGGAAUCACCAGGCCCUUUAUCAGCUCCAAAUUCAGCAGUAAGAUCAAGUAUGUGAACAGCCUGAGGGAGCUUGGAGAGUUAAUUCCUAUGGAGUACGUCCACAUUCCACCCAGCAUCAUAAAGUAUGACAAAAAGAGGGGUUUAUAAAAGUUUACAUGCAUGAGACUGGAUAUAGAAUUGCAGAACACAUCAGCUAAAGUGGAUAAGGGGAGUUCUUCCUUUUAAGAAGAGGAAACACCUGGAUGCUGCCUAUUUUCUCCCUGUAUUUUGCUGCACACUCCCACAGCAUGUCUGAACAUGAAAGCUGACAGCAUGAUGCUUAUGGUAACAUGGUUGUUACGAAGCAACUAGAAGUAAAACGGAAAUGAAGAUGCUGCAUCUGAGGGUACUUAAAAACAUAGUUCAGUAAUUUUGUAUUUGAAUUGCAGAGACGGUCACUGUGCUGAAGGGAAGACAUUCUGUACUGUUUAAAAGUUAUACUCCCACAUUUAUUUAUAUUUAUCAGGUAGUUUUUGUUCACUUUGUUCAUGAAAUUCUAUACAUUUAGUAUUUUCCAUUUUCCAGUUAUACUGCCUUACUAUGUUUAUGUAUUAAUAUUUAUUAAUAUUUAUCAAUGUGCAUUUUCUAAAGUGACACUUAAAAUUAUUACUAAUACACUCAAAAGUUGUUACAUCUCAUCGGCUUGCACAAAGAUUAAAUUCUUCCUGGGUAAUGGAGAUGUUGUGCUUUAGUAAAAUACUUAGAAUAUGUUAGUAUAAAGUUAUGAAGCUCUGUUUAGGCUGAAAUCUGAGUUGACCAAAUGACAAAACAUAUGAUUCCAUUAAAAUAUUGUUUUCUAAUGGGCAAAGCCACAGAUGUUUACUAGCAUGAUACUGAAAGUACAUAUUAGUUUAUCAAGAUGAAACUGGUUCCUGUUAAUGGGAGUUUUAUUUUUGUUGUGUUAUGUAACUCAGCACUAUAUUUGAUCAUGCUGUUCUGGUGUCACCAUGAAGUUAUUCCAACUUCAAAUGAAGUAGCAAAAACAUUUAAAAAGUCCUCUAUAUUUGAGUAAAUAUUUAAAAAUGAGUAUAAAUUCAUCCUGUUCAGCUUUCCAAAGGUGUUGCAUGUUUUCAGCAUUUACAGUUAAACACAUUCUUUUAAUCAGACCAACCAGAAAGAAACGUUAUGAUGAGUGAGUGCACGCGUGCAAGUACAUACACAAAGGUGAAGAUGAAGAUGGGGAUUACUUGAGUGAAAUACUUUAUUAAGAAAAAGUUGGAUGAGCCAUGUCUGUUUGUCAUUUUUGUACAUGACUUGAAUUAAUUUGUUGGAAAAUACAUACAUUUGUUUACAUCAUUAAAUGUCUCUUCCUCUCA